CCAAUUUUAGCGAACCUGAUCCCUUUGGAUUAUGGUCUCGCAAAAAUACUGUAUUUAAAACCCCACUCUUCAUAUAAAAUGAAUCUAUUUAUAUAUAAUAAAUAAAGA
RNAcentral lists this unclassified non-coding RNA (108 nucleotides) under uncultured Glomeromycotina. RNAcentral's name for it is "sequence contains ITS1". The record is from RNAcentral. Lineage: Eukaryota; Fungi; Glomeromycota.